RNAcentral lists this ribosomal RNA (424 nucleotides) under uncultured prokaryote. RNAcentral describes it as "bacterial SSU rRNA". It matches the Rfam family "Bacterial small subunit ribosomal RNA", at positions 355 to 796 of the family's 1533-position model. The record is from RNAcentral.
UGGGGCAUCUUGGACAAUGGGCGGAAGCCUGAUCCAGCCAUGCCGCGUGAGUGAAGAAGGCCCUAGGGUCGUAAAGCUCUUUCGCCUGUGAAGAUAAUGACGGUAGCAGGUAAAGAAACCCCGGCUAACUCCGUGCCAGCAGCCGCGGUAAUACGGAGGGGGUUAUCGUUGUUCAGAAUUACUGGGCGUAAAGCGCGCGUAGGCGGACCUUUAAGUCAGGGGUGAAAUCCUGGGGCUCAACCCCGGAACUGCCUUUGAUACUGGGGGUCUUGAGGUCGAGAGAGGUGAGUGGAAUUCCGAGUGUAGAGGUGAAAUUCGUAGAUAUUCGGAGGAACACCAGUGGCGAAGGCGGCUCACUGGCUCGAUACUGACGCUGAGGUGCGAAAGUGUGGGGAGCAAACAGGAUUAGAUACCCCCGUAGUCC